GUGCCAGCCGCCGCGGUAAUACGUAGGGUGCGAGCGUUAAUCGGAAUUACUGGGCGUAAAGCGUGCGCAGGCGGUUUCGUAAGUCAGAUGUGAAAGCCCCGGGCUCAACCUGGGAACUGCGUUUGAAACUGCGAGGCUAGAGUGUGUCAGAGGGGGGUAGAAUUCCACGUGUAGCAGUGAAAUGCGUAGAGAUGUGGAGGAACACCGAUGGCGAAGGCAGCCCCCUGGGAUAACACUGACGCUCAUGCACGAAAGCGUGGGGAGCAAACAGGAUUAGAAACCCUUGUAGUCC
Molecule: ribosomal RNA, 292 nt
Filed under: uncultured bacterium
Lineage: Bacteria
Description: partial 16S ribosomal RNA
Rfam family: Bacterial small subunit ribosomal RNA
Source: RNAcentral